This 254-nucleotide long non-coding RNA is filed under the name Linum usitatissimum (flax). RNAcentral describes it as "long non-coding RNA (LUSI_LNC003153)". The record is from RNAcentral. Lineage: Eukaryota; Viridiplantae; Streptophyta; Magnoliopsida; Malpighiales; Linaceae.
ACAAUUCAAGCUCAUUCCCUAUAUUUCAAUACCCCCUUCAAACUGAAGGGCUUUUGGCAAUCAUCUAGUAUGCAUGUGAAUCUAGGUCAACUCAACACCAAUGACUAUUAGCAAAGAGUGGUUGAAGCUAUAAAAAAAGCAACUAUCGAAGAACUUUCAAAGGAUGGAUCCAAGCAAAAAAAGAGAAAAAAAAAUAUUAUAAAAAAAUGAAUAAAAAGAAAAAGGGGAUCUGCAAGUUAUUAAUCUUGUAAGUU